RNAcentral lists this non-coding RNA (29 nucleotides) under Rattus norvegicus (Norway rat). The record is from RNAcentral. Lineage: Eukaryota; Metazoa; Chordata; Mammalia; Rodentia; Muridae.
GCCUUCUUUUCUUUCUUGGCCCUAGAAAC